This 497-nucleotide ribosomal RNA is filed under the name uncultured bacterium. RNAcentral's name for it is "partial 16S ribosomal RNA". It matches the Rfam family "Bacterial small subunit ribosomal RNA", at positions 28 to 507 of the family's 1533-position model. The record is from RNAcentral.
GAUGAACGCUGGCGGCGUGCCUAAUACAUGCAAGUCGAGCGAACGGACGAGAAGCUUGCUUUUCUGAUGUUAGCGGCGGACGGGUGAGUAACACGUGGAUAACCUACCUAUAAGACUGGGAUAACUUCGGGAAACCGGAGCUAAUACCGGAUAAUAUUUUGAACCGCAUGGUUCAAAAGUGAAAGACGGUCUUGCUGUCACUUAUAGAUGGACCCGCGCUGCAUUAGCUAGUUGGUAAGGUAACGGCUUACCAAGGCAACGAUGCAUAGCCGACCUGAGAGGGUGAUCGGCCACACUGGAACUGAGACACGGUCCAGACUCCUACGGGAGGCAGCAGUAGGGAAUCUUCCGCAAUGGGCGAAAGCCUGACGGAGCAACGCCGCGUGAGUGAUGAAGGUCUUCGGAUCGUAAAACUCUGCUAUUAGGGAAGAACAUAUGUGUAAGUAACUGUGCACAUCUUGACGGUACCUAAUCAGAAAGCCACGGCUAACUACGUG